UACUGAACCAUUGUUUGGAGUUGGA
Molecule: unclassified non-coding RNA, 25 nt
Filed under: Mus musculus (house mouse)
Lineage: Eukaryota; Metazoa; Chordata; Mammalia; Rodentia; Muridae
Description: oocyte_clustered_small_RNA5202
Source: RNAcentral